UAAAAUAAGGAUUUCAGUGGCCCUGGAGCUAUGUGGAAGAUGCUGCCUGGCAGCCUCCCAGCAGAAGGUGCUUUAGAGGCAAUGUCAGAGUCUGCUUUGCAGUGCUUAUUUCUGGGGACAUGCAAGGAAGUAGGAACAACGUGGAGGGUUAGGUUGUAGCCUGGAUCAGUUCUGGGAGCAGGAUGAGAGGAAGCCAGAAAUGAUCAUAAACCUUGCAGUAUCCAGGUAUCAGAGCAGCAUGUUGAUGAAUGAGGCUUACUGCUCAGCUCUGCCUUUCUCAGGUUGGAUGUCUCUUCUGUUGUAUUGCUUCUGUAGCUCAAGCACCAUCGUGCAGUUCCAAUACCUUUGACUGGGGUCGGAUCUGCUUGUUUUGUACUUGAAGAUUGGCUAUUUGUUUACAAAGCACUUCCUGCUCCAAGAAACGUCGUGCAUUGCACUGCUGCCAUCACUGCAGAUAUUCAGGAAAAGGACGGAGGGGGCAUUCUGGCAAAGGGUGUGAAAGACACCAUCAAAUGGAAGAGAUUGUUUUUUCUUUAUUUUCCACUGAGACCUAGCUGUGUUGUUUGAAGACCUUACUGUCCUAUGGAAUAAAUGCAGUCUCUGGCAUUAUCCCACUGAUGUGAUUU
This 626-nucleotide long non-coding RNA is filed under the name Meleagris gallopavo (turkey). RNAcentral describes it as "lncRNA (ENSMGAG00000022958.1)". Lineage: Eukaryota; Metazoa; Chordata; Aves; Galliformes; Phasianidae. The record is from RNAcentral.